Molecule: unclassified non-coding RNA, 200 nt
Filed under: Venturiaceae sp.
Lineage: Eukaryota; Fungi; Ascomycota; Dothideomycetes; Venturiales; Venturiaceae
Description: partial internal transcribed spacer 2
Source: RNAcentral
UUAAGUUCAGCGGGUAUCCCCACCUGAUCCGAGGCCAACCAUUGAUAAAAAUUGGGGUCCGGGGCGCCUCCAACCGAUCGUCCACAAGCGAGGGUUUUGCUACGCUUGGAGUCCGGCUGGGGGCGCCCACGAGUUUCAGGCCCGCCGUGCAGGCGGGGCCCAUCACAAGCAAGGCUUGAGGUUUGUAAUGGCGCUCGAAC